This 1098-nucleotide long non-coding RNA is filed under the name Marmota monax (woodchuck). The record is from RNAcentral. Lineage: Eukaryota; Metazoa; Chordata; Mammalia; Rodentia; Sciuridae.
ACGGUCUCACCCCAGAACCUGCUCUCUCAACUCACUAUGCUAUAUUUAUGGGAUUCUUUUGGUUACAAAGAUUUGUUUGUAAGAGAAUGAAAAUGGUCGGUCAAUGAAAUUAACAAAUGGGACAGUAGCUACAAAGCCUUAUAUUACAAAGUUCUGAGAGUCAUUCCCCUUACUCCAUGACUCCUGUAUCUCUUUCUGUGAUGGUACUAGAGGCAAGUUUGAAUUUACAAUAACAAAUGCACAUUUUUUUUUGUAAUAGCUUUAUGGAGAUAGAAUUUACACACUAUAUACAUUCACUCCCUUAUAGUAAAUAAUUUAAUAUUUUAUCACAUUCAAAAUGUUGUACAGCCAUCACCAUAAUCAAUUUUAGAAUAUUUCCAUCAUUUCAAUAAGAAAUCUGUGCUCUUUAGCUAUUGUUUCCAAUCUUCCCAUCUCCCGGUCCUAGGAAAUCACUAUCCUAUUUUCUGUGGUUGUAGAUUUAUUCUGAACAUUUCAUGUAGUUGGAAUUUAGCAUUAUAUUUUCAAAGUUUCUUUACAUUGUAGCAUGUGUCAGUAUUUUAUUCUUUUGAUUUGGUCAAACAGUAUUCUAUUAUAUGGGUGUGCUGUUUGUUUAUCCAUUCACUCGUGAUGGACUUUUGGUUUGUUUCCAGUUUUGACUAUUAAGAAUAAUUCUUUGAUAGACAGAUUUUUGGGGUGGGCAGAUUCUUUCAUUUCUUUUGCAUAUAUACUUAGGAAUGGAGUUGCCACAUCAAAUAUAACUCCACAUUUAACUUUUUGAGUACUGUCAUAUUGUUUUUUCAAGUGACUAAACUACUUUAUAUUUCCAAAUGCAGCAUACAAAGGUUCUAUUUCCACAUUCUAACCAACAUUGUGUCUUUCUUUUUUAUUAUAGACAUUCUAGUGGAUAUUAACUGGCAUUCACUAUGGCUUUGAUUUAUAUUUUUCUUAAUGCCUAAUGAUGUUGAGAAUCUUUUGAUGUACUUGUUGACCAUUUAUCUUUUUUAAAGAAAAAGUUAUAUGGAUUAUUUUCCCUUUAAAAAUUGAGUUACUUAUCUUUUUAUUGAAUUGCUAACAUACUUCACAUAUGUUAGCUAUAAG